Molecule: long non-coding RNA, 1174 nt
Organism: Corythoichthys intestinalis (scribbled pipefish)
Lineage: Eukaryota; Metazoa; Chordata; Actinopteri; Syngnathiformes; Syngnathidae
Exons: 3
Source: RefSeq, a predicted model, not a curated record
CGCACUUCCAUUUGGAACGUUGGCCUUUUCUAAUUGAGGGGACAAAGUUUUGUUCGCUCAGGAAAGAAAUAUUAAGGCCAAAAGCCUUGUGUGAGAGGAAGAGGACCAGGCUCCGUCAGUUAAGACAAAUCGAUUGAACUCAAUAAUGGCGAGCAAACCAGAGUGAUUAAAGAACCAAGAACAUCGAUAAUUCUGGAAUAACAGACGGACUGUCUGUGGGGUAGGACUGUGUCAGUCAUUGGAUUGAUACAUACAUUUUUCUUUUUCUUUCAAAAAGUGCACUCCUACGAACAUUGGGAGAAGAAAACUAUUGCAAUAGUAAAAAUUUAAGACAUUGAAGUAGUUGCAAUUGCAGCUAAUAUUGGACAAAUUUUUACUUUGACGAAACAAUUGACUGAGACCGAAUAGGACUAUUUUUUGUUGUUGUUUAUUUUAAAGUUUUAUUACCAGUUCAUUGUUGUUAAAUGUUAAAAUAAGUUCAUUGUAGGCCUGCAGCUAUCGAUUAUUUUAGUAGUCGAUUAAUCGACGAACCAUUUAGUUUGAUUAAUCGAGUAAUCAGUUCAGGAACAUAAAAAAAUACCUGAGCUGAGCCUCAAACGGUAUAAAUGAGUAUCUAUGUACAACAAAAGAACAGUUGGCUAACUUACAUAGCAAAAGUCUGCUAACUUUAAUGCUAACGUUUUUACAAUGCUCUUAACAAAUGGUUCGGACACAUACUCCCACAAAAAUUUCUAAAUAUACCUAUGAAGUAAAUCACGAAUGCAUUAAAAAAAACAUUAGCUCAAACAAAAACCAAGCUAAUGUUGGUCUUAACAGGGAGCAAAUGGAUUCAGCCAUGUGAAAUGAAGUACAAUAGAGGGCAGUUUAUCCACCCAACUCAAUCAAACUAAAUGGAAACACUUUCAAAACAUACCUUUACAACGCCACUUUAAUUAAAUAAAUGAAUACUCGAAGUAGCAAAAUUUAAUUCUAAUCUUUUUUUUCUAAUCAAAUACUCGAGUUAAUUGAUUAAUCGUUGCAGCACUAGUUCAUUGUAUUGUUCAUUAAAAAAAUAUACAAAAGUAGGAUUCCACCUGCCUAAACCUGAUGUUUAUUGUUCUCAUUGUAUCGAAACCAAUUAAGCCGAACCUAGAACGCAGCUCCUAUCGUUGUACAUAACAGUCCCUGACAAAAG